Molecule: ribosomal RNA, 19 nt
Filed under: Buckleyzyma salicina
Lineage: Eukaryota; Fungi; Basidiomycota; Cystobasidiomycetes; Buckleyzymales; Buckleyzymaceae
Also listed under: 3 other names
Description: partial 26S rRNA
Source: RNAcentral
UAGACCUCAAAUCAGUCAG